Molecule: ribosomal RNA, 301 nt
Filed under: uncultured bacterium
Lineage: Bacteria
Description: partial 16S ribosomal RNA
Rfam family: Bacterial small subunit ribosomal RNA
Source: RNAcentral
CAGCGCCGCGGGAAUACGGAGGGAGCUAGCGUUGUUCGGAAUUACUGGGCGUAAAGCGCACGUAGGCGGCUUUGUAAGUUAGAGGUGAAAGCCUGGAGCUCAACUCCAGAAUUGCCUUUAAGACUGCAUCGCUUGAAUCCAGGAGAGGUGAGUGGAAUUCCGAGUGUAGAGGUGAAAUUCGUAGAUAUUCGGAAGAACACCAGUGGCGAAAGCGGCUCACUGGACUGGUAUUGGCGCUGAGGUGCGAAAGCGUGGGGAGCAAACAGGAUUAGAUACCCCAGUAGUCCCUGUCUCUUAUACA